Molecule: long non-coding RNA, 1320 nt
Organism: Corvus hawaiiensis (hawaiian crow)
Lineage: Eukaryota; Metazoa; Chordata; Aves; Passeriformes; Corvidae
Exons: 4
Source: RefSeq, a predicted model, not a curated record
CAGGCUGCCGCAGUUGUAGCCAUCUCACUCACAUGUUUCAGAGCUCUGAUGUCUAACACAUAUCUGCUCUUUCCUGUUUCAAGGCCAUCACUUCCCUGCACAGAGUCUGAUUUUCUGCAGAUUUUCCUGAGGUGAAAAAACUCCAGACAAACUCAGUCCCCUUGUGCUGGAUACAGAGCUGAUACUAAUCUUGCUAAGCCUAGAAGCUCAGCUCUAAUGUCCAAUACGAGUUCAUGAACAAUGGGUUUGCAAAUAGCAAGAGAAGUGGUUACAGCAUGUGAUUAUAACCAGCAGCUGAGCAUGUGUGGAUGGUUUGUGACAAUCAUAAUGACACCAACUCUACUGCUCUCAAAGGAAGACUCAGACAUCGUCUUCCUCCUGGAUGAGUGAGAAAAGGAAAGCCUUGAUGAUUUUGAAGAAGCGUUUGUGAAGAACACAAGCUACAUCAACACUGGAAUCUUAUUUCAUCAGCAGACUGUCCCUACUCCCCAUACUGCUAUAAGUGCUCAUAUUUCCCUGUGGCAGGAGGAGAAGAGACUGACUGAGUGAAAGAGAAGUAGCAGAUCUUGUAGUCUUCCACUUCUUCAGUGGCCUUCCCAGAAAUGCCAUUCCUUCUGCAAAUUCGUCAUUUACUGCUCUUUCCUGAAAGUAAGAAGGGGGGAGUGGCUGAUGCCCCACAGUGAUCUGCAGCCCUCCAGAGGGCCCUCAACAGGCUGGAGAGAUGGGCAGAGAAGAACUGUCUGAAAUUCUACAGGGGCAAGUGCAGGGUCCUGCACCUGGGGAAGAACAACCCUGGGUACCAGCACAGGCUGGGGGCCAGCCUGCUGGAAAGCAGCUCUGUGGAGAAGGACCUGGGGGUCCUGGUGGACAACAAACUGGCCAUGAGCCAGCAGUGCCCCAGGCCAAUGGAAUCCUGGGAUGCAUUAGGAAGAGCAAUGCCAGCAGUCAAGGGAGGUGAUCCUGCUCCUCUGCUCAGCCCAAGUGAGGUCUCACCUGGAGUCUCUGCUCAGUUCUGGUCUCUGCAGUACAAGAGAGAUUAUGGAGGUCCUGGAGUGGGUCCAGCAGAGAACUACAAAGGUGAUGAAGGGACUGGAGGAGCUCUCUUACAAGGAAAGUCUGAGAGAAUUGAUUCUGUUCAGCCCCAAGAAGGAAUAACUGAGAGGGGACCUCACUGGUAUCUGUCAGUGUCUGCAAGGAGGGGUCAGAGGAGGGACCAGGCUCUGCUCAGUGGUGCUGGGCAAUAUGACAAGAGUCAAUGGGCAGUAAGUGAUGCACAGGAAGUUCCACCCAAACAUGAGGAAGAACUUCUUUACUGUGCCA